Molecule: ribosomal RNA, 475 nt
Filed under: uncultured bacterium
Lineage: Bacteria
Description: bacterial SSU rRNA
Rfam family: Bacterial small subunit ribosomal RNA
Source: RNAcentral
UCAGUCGACUCCUACGGGGAGGCAGCAGUGGGGAAUAUUGCACAAUGGGCGCAAGCCUGAUGCAGCCAUGCCGCGUGUGUGAAGAAGGCCUUCGGGUUGUAAAGCACUUUCAGUCGUGAGGAAGGUAGUGUAGUUAAUAGCUGCAUUAUUUGACGUUAGCGACAGAAGAAGCACCGGCUAACUCCGUGCCAGCAGCCGCGGUAAUACGGAGGGUGCGAGCGUUAAUCGGAAUUACUGGGCGUAAAGCGCAUGCAGGUGGUUUGUUAAGUCAGAUGUGAAAGCCCGGGGCUCAACCUCGGAAUAGCAUUUGAAACUGGCAGACUAGAGUACUGUAGAGGGGGGUAGGAAUUUCAGGUGUAGCGGUGAAAUGCGUAGAGAUCUGAAGGAAUACCGGUGGCGAAGGCGGCCCCCUGGACAGAUACUGACACUCAGAUGCGAAAGCGUGGGGAGCAAACAGGAUUAGAUACCCUGGUAG